Molecule: ribosomal RNA, 407 nt
Filed under: uncultured bacterium
Lineage: Bacteria
Description: bacterial SSU rRNA
Rfam family: Bacterial small subunit ribosomal RNA
Source: RNAcentral
GACGAACGCUGGCGGCGUGCUUAACACAUGCAAGUCGAACGGUGACCCAGGGCUUGCCCUGGUGAUCAGUGGCGAACGGGUGAGUAACACGUGGGCAACCUGCCCCUGACUUCGGGAUAACUCCUCGAAAGAGGAGCUAAUACCGGAUACGACCACUUCGGACAUCCGAUGGUGGUGGAAAGUUUUUCGGUCAGGGAUGGGCCCGCGGCCUAUCAGCUAGUUGGUGGGGUAAUGGCCUACCAAGGCGACGACGGGUAGCCGGCCUGAGAGGGCGACCGGCCACACUGGGACUGAGACACGGCCCAGACUCCUACGGGAGGCAGCAGUGGGGAAUAUUGCGCAAUGGGCCGAAAGCCUGACGCAGCGACGCCGCGUUGAGGGAUGAAGGGCCUUCGGUUGGUUAAACC